UGCACCCCGUGGAAGAGUGACCCACGCUGCAGUGGUUUGAGGAGGACUGUUGCUUUUGAGCUGGACUCGUGUUGUAGCAGUUUGCAGGGAGCUGUUGAUCAUGAGAUGGACUCAUAUCAGAGAAGUUCAUGGAGAACUGUCUUCCAUGGGAGGGACCCCACAGUGUGGCAGGGGAAGGACUGCUCUCCCCGAGCAGCAGGAGAAGCCACAGGUGAUCAACUGACCAUAACCCUCAUUCCCUGUCUCCUUGCACCGCUGGAGUAGAAGCUGCAGAGGGAGGGGGUGAGCCACUUCUGUGGGUGCUCAGCAUCUGGCCAUCAUCAGCCCAUGACAACCUGCCACUGCCUGCUGCCUCAGACAGGACCAGCACCGGCCAUGCUCAGCUCAGCCACCACCUAUCUCACUGUCCUUCCAGGGCCAAACCCCAAAGUCUCUCUCCUGCACAAAUAUCUGCCCCACCUCCAGAACUGGUAUGGAAACUGGUAUCUUUCUGGACAAAGAAAGUGAAAAAAAGAAGAAGAAAAAAGAAACAAAAUCAUUAUAAUAGCC
Agelaius phoeniceus (red-winged blackbird) is the source of this 549-nucleotide long non-coding RNA. RefSeq lists it as uncharacterized. NCBI's taxonomy places the organism in Eukaryota, Metazoa, Chordata, Aves, Passeriformes, Icteridae. The record is from RefSeq and is a predicted model, not a curated record.